CUAAGGCCCAGUUUGACAAGUUCGUGUUGGACAAGGCGGAGGAGAAAGCGGCCUUUGAUCUUGGUGCUGGAGAAGACGACAGCUGAGGCGGCGGCACAGAAGGCCAUUGCUGACAAGGCGUUAGUGGACUUCGGCGAGCUGCAGGUAUUGUGCUUGGGAAAGGGUCUCGCGUACUUCGAGGAGGUCUGUUUUGAUUAUCACCCCAAAUAUUGCUGCUCACAAGCAGGAGUCUUCAACGGCUGCCAAGGCCCAGUUUGACAAGUUCGUGUUGGACAAGGCGGAGGAGAAAGCGGCCUUUGACUUGGUGCUGGAGAAGACGACAGCUGUGGCGGCGGCACAGAAGGCCAUUGCUGACAAGGCGUUAGUGGACUUCGGCGAGCUGCAGGUAUUCUGCUUGGGAAAGGGUCUCGCGUACUUCGAGAAGGUUUGUUUUGAUUAUUAACCCAAAAUUGGCUGCUCACAAGCAGGAGUCUUCAACGGCUGCUAAGGCCCAGUUUGACAAGUUCGUGUUGGACAAGGCGGAGGAGAAAGCGGCCUUUGACCUGGUGCUGGAGAAGACGACAGCUGAGGCGGCGGCACAGAAGGCCAUUGCUGACAAGGCGUUAGUGGACUUCGGGGAGCUGCAGGUUAGCGCAUGCACAUCUGGUCCAGGGUUUCGUAUGCAGGUCAACCUUUCUUGACCAUGUUGAAUAUUGAUUAGUAUCCGCGUGUGCUUAUUCCCGACGCUUUAGUGCCUUCACUGCUUGCGGUGUGUUCGCGCUGAUGUGCCGGAUUACCGGGCGUUUUAUCCUUAUCCCGCUCGCUGUCUGCAUCAUACUGGUAUGGUCCUUUCCCUCAGCAUUUGCCCAUUACCGAGGCUGAGGUUGGCGGUUAGUAGUAGGCACAGCGGGAAAGCGAUGCCCCUUUCACACCUGGGAAGUGUCGAUUCGUGCGCAUUUCGUGCUGCCGUAGGAGUCCGCCGCAACCACCAAGUCCCAGUUCGACAAGUUCGUGGCGGACAAGGCUGAGGAGAAAGCUGUCUUUGAUCACCUUCUGGAACAGACAGUGGCAGAGGUUGCGGCACAUAAGGCCAUUGCCGACAAGGCGCUGGUGGAUAUGGACGAAAUGCAGGUGAGAGGUCAACAAGUCUUUGGAUUUUUUCGGCACGGGAUUAUGGCUACGGGUGAACAAGAUUAGAUGCAAGGGAGACCUGGCACAUUGGCCGCUUAAGUAGUCACCGCAUCUGUGACAUUGGGAAAGGCCGAGAGGUGCCUGCUUCGCACUGUGUGUCUUCAGGUCUCAUCACUCCCGGCAUUCAUGUAGCCCCAUAUGGGCCUGCUUAAGGGUUCUGCCUCACGUGCAUUAGGGUUUUAUUCCCUAGAGAAGAGUGUGAUAAGAGUCGCCGCUUUUUGUGGCCGUCCCUUUCUGCGUGUAGCAAGCCGCCACGUGCACCAAGGCCCAGUUUGACAAGUUCGUGUUGGACAAGACGGAGGAGAAAGCGGCCUUUGACCUGGUGCUGGAGAAGACGACAGCUGAGGCGGCGGCGCAGAAGGCCCUUGCUGACAAGGCGUUAGUGGAUUUCUCCGAGCAAAAAGCCAUCGCCGAUAAGGCUCUAGUAGACUUUAGCGAGCUGCAGGUGAGUAGCUAACAAACGGCGAACAUGGGAUUGAAACCUCGCUGGCAGCUGGAUGACAAAGUCGGAGUCAUUUGGCAGGUUCUCCGUCGCGCCAGGCAUCGCCUGGCGUCCCUCGAUGUCUCCUGUUAAAGUGAUCCAUAUUCAACCCAUUGUCCGAGGUGUACCGAAGACCACACAGUCGGCAUUACCCGUCUCCUUGGGUCCGGCCUGCCGUUACCAGGUUGCCGGCAGAAAGGGUGAAUGCAUGCACAUGUAUGUGCGCACGCACGCACGCUCUUUACGGCCGCGGUUGCGAUCUAUCCUCUUUCUUACUCCUUAACCGAAGGCCUCUGCGGAAGCUGACAAGGCGGGCCAUGACAAGGUGCUGCUGGACCUUGCGG
This 1995-nucleotide long non-coding RNA is filed under the name Volvox carteri. Its description in RNAcentral is "long non-coding RNA (VCAR_LNC001007)". The record is from RNAcentral. Lineage: Eukaryota; Viridiplantae; Chlorophyta; Chlorophyceae; Chlamydomonadales; Volvocaceae.